CUUUUCUUCGACUCCCUGCCUGUGAGGGCCUCUGUCCUGGUGAGGGGGCGGGGGUCCUUAGGUGCUUAGUCCCUCCCCCCUGCGCUGCGGAAAGAAGCCCAGGUCUAAAAAAAUAGGGGAGAGAGGAGCGUAUUUUUUUGGCCUGCCCUUUCCCUCCUAGGGCCGUUUCAUGUAGCCUUGUUUUUCUAUUCUGGCCCAAUGGCCAGGAAAAUUCUUUUUCUCCCUGAAGAAAUUCUGAAAGACAGCAGGGAGCUCGGUUCUGUUUCAAAAGCUGGUGGGAAAUAUCUCCUGAGGGCCCGUUAUGUGCCAGGCACGGACUGGACACUGGGGCUGCAGCGAUGGACACAGGCCCAGGUCCCUCCCUCGUGGUGGUGGCUUUGAGUGGGUGGGACGAGGGUCAGAGAGAGAAGCUGUGUGGCCCCAGGCUUGCUCUCUGAAGGGGAGUCCUCUUCCUCUGCAUCCUUGGUACGUGUGCCCAGCUGCCAGCUCCUCCAAGGGGCGUGAACAUCUGGGAAAACGGUCAUUUCCAGAAGCUUUCCUGACCUGGCUCCUUCACCCCUCUGAUGUCUCAUGCCCUGCAGACCCUGCCCUCUGCCUACCCGGAUGGAGGCUGUCCCCGAACAGCAGCUGUCCAUGCCACAGCUCCGGGAGCUAGAGAAACCUCCAAGCUCUGUCCCACGGUGUCCCUGUGACUCCCUGGAGAGGUCCCGGCGGCACCGGAUCUGCCUUCAUCUCCCUCUGGCUUGUGCUGGUUUGCAGCCCUGCCUUGCUUCUGCGGCUGGUGGUCCCUGGAUGGUGGUGCUCUCUCUCCACACCCUCGGCAUCCCUUCUCCUCCCAACUCAUCCCACUCCGGGUUCUUCCAGGGCUCAGGCUGAAUUUUUGUCCUUCUCUGGAGGCACAGCUACAAGGGAAAGUUCCUUCAUGACAGGAGAAUCCGGCUGCCGUUCGGGUAUGGAUUUCCCAGCCUGAGACGCUCUCCCCUCCUCACCUGCCUGAUCCCACUCAUCCUUCAGGCUUGGCUGCAAGGUCAUGUAACCAGAGACUCUCCCUGACCUUAGUUCUAAACGAUGGUUCCUUGUUACCCGCUCUGUACGCACUGUGAAACAAUUUCUGUCAUUGCUGCUACCGCAGUUUUUAAUUAUAUAUUGAUUUGUUUAGUUUUUCCCUCCGUAUUAGUCUGUAAGCUUUAUGAAGGCAGGCGCUGAGUGUCUUUUUGCCCACGAUCGUAUGCCUGGAGUCUAGCCCCAUGCCUGGUGUGCAGCAGAUGCUCAGGAGAUGGUAUGGAAUGAAUGAGUUGUGUCCAUCUGGUGGCUGGAUGAUCUCAGAGCCGGUUGGGCAUUUACCCAGUGGCCUGGGGAUAGGUAAACUAUGGGAUCGCUCUCUCUUUUUCAGAAGGAAAGGGAAGGCAGAAAAUGGGGAGUGAGGAGCCAUGAAAAAGAAUGAAAUAAUGCCAUUUGCAGCAACAUGGAUGGACCUAGAGAUGAUCAUACUGAGUGAAAUAAGUCAGACAGAGAAAGACAAAUAUCUGAGGAAUCUAAAAAAAAUAAUACAGGGCUUUUCUGGUGGUGCAGUGGUUGGGAAUCUGCCUGCCAAUGCAGGGGACAUGGGUUCGAGCCCUGGUCUGGGAAGAUCCCACAUGCCGCGGAGCAACUGGGCCCGUGAGCCACAACUACCGAGCCUGCGCGUCUGGAGCCUGGGCUCCACAACGGGAGAGGCCGCGACAGUGAGAGGCCCGCGCACCGCGAUGAAGAGUGGUCCCCGCUCGCCGCAACUGGAGAAAGCCUUCGCACAGAAACGAAGACCCAAC
Balaenoptera ricei (Rice's whale) is the source of this 1808-nucleotide long non-coding RNA. RefSeq lists it as uncharacterized. The record is from RefSeq and is a predicted model, not a curated record. NCBI's taxonomy places the organism in Eukaryota, Metazoa, Chordata, Mammalia, Artiodactyla, Balaenopteridae. The transcript has 3 exons.